GCUGGUAAAAAGGAACCAGAU
This 21-nucleotide microRNA is filed under the name Chrysemys picta bellii (western painted turtle). RNAcentral's name for it is "Cpi-Mir-133-P4-v2_5p* (star (passenger))". The record is from RNAcentral. RNAcentral also lists the same sequence under 8 other names. Lineage: Eukaryota; Metazoa; Chordata; Testudines; Emydidae.